UGUAGCUCAGAGGUGGAGCGUCUGACAGGUGUUCGGAAGUUCAAAGGUUCGAUUCCUGUUGGGAGAA
Non-coding RNA from Desmophyllum pertusum, 67 nucleotides. NCBI's taxonomy places the organism in Eukaryota, Metazoa, Cnidaria, Anthozoa, Scleractinia, Caryophylliidae. The record is from the annotation of a GenBank genome assembly.